This 280-nucleotide ribosomal RNA is filed under the name uncultured bacterium. Its description in RNAcentral is "partial 16S ribosomal RNA". It matches the Rfam family "Bacterial small subunit ribosomal RNA", at positions 78 to 353 of the family's 1533-position model. The record is from RNAcentral.
GCUUGCUUUCUUUGCUGGCGACCGGCGCACGGGUGAGUAACACGUAUCCAACCUACCCUUUACUCGGGGAUAGCCUUUCGAAAGAAAGAUUAAUACCCGAUAGCAUAAUGAUUCCGCAUGGUUUCAUUAUUAAAGGAUUCCGGUAAAGGAUGGGGAUGCGUUCCAUUAGGUUGUUGGCGGGGUAACGGCCCACCAGGCCUUCGAUGGAUAGGGGUUCUGAGAGGAAGGUCCCCCACAUUGGAACUGAGACACGGUCCAAACUCCUACGGGAGGCAGCAUG